Molecule: ribosomal RNA, 484 nt
Filed under: uncultured bacterium
Lineage: Bacteria
Description: bacterial SSU rRNA
Rfam family: Bacterial small subunit ribosomal RNA
Source: RNAcentral
GAUCAUGGCUCAGAUUGAACGCUGGCGGAAUGCUUUACACAUGCAAGUCGAACGGUAGAGGGGCAACCCUUGAGAGUGGCGAACGGGUGAGUAAUAUAUCGGAACGUGCCCAGUCGUGGGGAUAACGUAGCGAAAGUUACGCUAAUACCGCAUACGAUCUACGGAUGAAAGCGGGGGAUCGCAAGACCUCGCGCGAAUGGAGCGGCCGAUGGCAGAUUAGGUAGUUGGUGGGGUAAAGGCUCACCAAGCCUGCGAUCUGUAGCUGGUCUGAGAGGUCAAUCCCCCACACUGGCACUGAGAUACGGGCCAGACUCCUACGGGAGGCAGCAGUAGGGAAUAUUGGGCAAUGGGCGCAAGCCUGACCCAGCCAUGCCGCGUGCAGGAAGAAGGCGUUAUGCGUUGUAAACUGCUUUUAUACAGGAAGAAACGACCCUUGCGAGGGGCAUUGACGGUACUGUAUGAAUAAGCACCGGCUAACUCCGUG